This 308-nucleotide long non-coding RNA is filed under the name Ananas comosus (pineapple). Its description in RNAcentral is "long non-coding RNA (ACOM_LNC017564)". The record is from RNAcentral. Lineage: Eukaryota; Viridiplantae; Streptophyta; Magnoliopsida; Poales; Bromeliaceae.
AAAAAGGAAAAUCUUCGAGAAUAGGAUCAUCUACGAAUGAUGGUCCUAGUACAAAUCGAGAAGGGUCUAUUUCGACGAAUUGGCGAAGGAGAGUAUAAUCAAGGGAAGGAGAUGAAGGAAGCGGAGGAAGCGGAGCCAUUGGCUAAAUUGGAGAAAAGAAAGAGAAGAAGAUGGAAAGAAGAAGAAAUAGUGAAAGAAAAAUUCCAGCGAGGAUGAAAAAGAAAGGGUAAGGAAGAAGAAAACAAUGAAACACGAAAGACAAGAAAGAGGGAAGAGGAGUGUUAUUGGAUAGAAUUCUGAAAAAAUAG